AACCGGGAUUGCCUUAGUAACGGCGAGUGAAGCGGCAAAAGCUCAAAUUUGAAAUCUGGUACCUUCGGUGCCCGAGUUGUAAUUUGGAGAGGGCAACUUUGGGGCCGUUCCUUGUCUAUGUUCCUUGGAACAGGACGUCAUAGAGGGUGAGAAUCCCGUGUGGCGAGGAGUGCGGUUCUUUGUAAAGUGCCUUCGAAGAGUCGAGUUGUUUGGGAAUGCAGCUCUAAGUGGGUGGUAAAUUCCAUCUAAAGCUAAAUAUUGGCGAGAGACCGAUAGCGAACAAGUACAGUGAUGGAAAGAUGAAAAGAACUUUGAAAAGAGAGUGAAAAAGUACGUGAAAUUGUUGAAAGGGAAGGGCAUUUGAUCAGACAUGGUGUUUUGUGCCCUCUGCUCCUUGUGGGUAGGGGAAUCUCGCAUUUCACUGGGCCAGCAUCAGUUUUGGUGGCAGGAUAAAUCCAUAGGAAUGUAGCUUGCCUCGGUAAGUAUUAUAGCCUGUGGGAAUACUGCCAGCUGGGACUGAGGACUGCGACGUAAGUCAAGGAUGCUGGCAUAAUGGUUAUAUGCCGCCC
RNAcentral lists this ribosomal RNA (569 nucleotides) under Saccharomyces cerevisiae (brewer's yeast). RNAcentral's name for it is "eukaryotic LSU rRNA". It matches the Rfam family "Eukaryotic large subunit ribosomal RNA", at positions 67 to 650 of the family's 3401-position model. The record is from RNAcentral. Lineage: Eukaryota; Fungi; Ascomycota; Saccharomycetes; Saccharomycetales; Saccharomycetaceae.